RNAcentral lists this ribosomal RNA (274 nucleotides) under uncultured bacterium. RNAcentral's name for it is "partial 16S ribosomal RNA". It matches the Rfam family "Bacterial small subunit ribosomal RNA", at positions 523 to 796 of the family's 1533-position model. The record is from RNAcentral.
AUACGAAGGGGGCAAGCGUUGUUCGGAAUAACUGGGCGUAAAGCGCACGUAGGCGGAAUGUUAAGUUAGAGGUGAAAUCCCAGGGCUCAACCCUGGAACUGCCUUUAAUACUGGCAAUCUAGAGACCGAGAGAGGUGAGUGGAAUUCCGAGUGUAGAGGUGAAAUUCGUAGAUAUUCGGAGGAACACCAGUGGCGAAGGCGGCUCACUGGCUCGGUACUGACGCUGAGGUGCGAAAGCGUGGGGAGCAAACAGGAUUAGAAACCCGAGUAGUCC